AUGAAGCUGAUCCCUUUGGGUGCAACGGAGCGUCGGUGGUCAAGUAUGUCGCAGCAUGGCCCAACAAAGGCGCUCUCCGGGAGAUGGUGGCUAGACAUUUUGAGAGGAAAAAGUGGGAGACAAGUUAUGAGGAGGGGAGGAAAGCAUACUGUGUUUGGUAUAUUGUUUGUGUUAAGUUUUGUUUCCUUUUUGAACGGGGUACGUGCCAAUUGGAUAAAAAGACAUGCCAAUUAUAUGUUUGAGCAGCACGGGAAAGAGGUAGCAUUAAUAUAUGAACACCCCCUCACCAUAGGAGAUUUUUCAUUUCUUCCCGAUUUAAUUGAUGAACCACAGAUUAUGUUGGAGGGAUUGUCCAAGGCUCAGGAGGGUCCACCUACCGUGUUUUCUAGCAUACCGCAAGAAAUAAAUCAAACUCGGUUUCGACGGCUUAGAUACCAUACCUCCACCAGGGGUUUGUGCUUCUGUUGUGGAGGAUCGGGAAUAUGGAAUUCUGAGUGGAGACACUGGGGAACUAGGCAGGCGUUCUUUUCCCGAUUAGGCAAUUACUCCCAUUGUCGAGACCGGUUCUAUCUACAUGGACGAUUUAAUACAUCUUAUGUCUCACGAUUAAAUCUAACCGCAACCGAGUGGGCUAGCAUGUAUCCAGAUUAUCCCACAUUUAGUGUGAAUGAUUCUAUUGAGGGCCUAAAAUCUUAUAUGAACAUACUGCAACAAUUAACCCAACUGAGCCUAGGUCAAAGCCUCUGUCCGUUAUGGCAAAUUAGGGAUCCAAAUCUAUGGUUUUCCUUUGAUAAAUGGGCCACAAAUUAUCACCCCGGCAACUACCAGUGUGUCGGUGUGGGUUAUUUGACAUUCCCAGUCCGGGUCUUACACAAAAGGCAUCAGCGCCUGAAACGGGACAUUGUGCAAACAGGCCCUCUAGGACCAGAAUGUUCGGAUGAGGUCAUUAUUAACAAGGCCCUGUCAGGUUCAGAAGCCUCCCGUGUAGGAGGAGGCCUGAUCACAGGCUUGUUGACCCUGGGUGCCUACCCAGGGAUUGUAGCUCAAGCAAAUCGUAGAAGUGUUCUAGGCCUGACUUGCCGUCUUGAAAAGUCCAUAAAUGCCACUGGUAAAAUUUUCCGGGAAAUCCAGUCUGAAGUAGAAGAAAUCAGCCAGAUGGCCCUACAGCAUAAGCUGGCCCUUGACUACCUACUGGCGGCCAGGGGGGGUUUAUGCGCCAUGGUUAGAGGGCGUUGUGUAGUGAAAUUUCAUAACUUGAAUAGUACUAUUGAAGAUGACAUCGAGUCAUUGCAAAAGUUAAUUUACAAUAAUGUCCAGGAGGUAGAAGGUUGGUCUCCCUUCUCCUGGGUGACUAGCUGGUUACCUUCAGUAGAAUGGUUGAAGGACAUAUUGUUGGUAGGGAUUUUAGGAUUGUUCAUUGUUCUCAUAGUUAUGCGCUGCACUCCAAUAAUGAUGCAAAUGUGUACUAGGUGUGUCACACAAUCAUUACCUGGAGAAAAGAUAGCCAUACUCCAAACCAAGUGGGAUUGGAUGGAACCAUAA
This is a long non-coding RNA of Anolis carolinensis (green anole), 1542 nucleotides long. The record is from Ensembl. NCBI's taxonomy places the organism in Eukaryota, Metazoa, Chordata, Lepidosauria, Squamata, Anolidae.